Molecule: ribosomal RNA, 545 nt
Filed under: uncultured Glomeromycotina
Lineage: Eukaryota; Fungi; Glomeromycota
Description: SSU rRNA
Rfam family: Eukaryotic small subunit ribosomal RNA
Source: RNAcentral
UUGGAGGGCAAGUCUGGUGCCAGCAGCCGCGGUAAUUCCAGCUCCAAUAGCGUAUAUUAAAGUUGUUGCAGUUAAAAAGCUCGUAGUUGAAUUUCGGGAUUAGUACGUUGGUCGUGCCUUCGGUACGUACUGGUGUUACUGAUUCCUACCUUCUGACGAACCAUCAUGUCAUUAAUUUGGUGUGGCGGGGAAUCAGGACUGUUACUUUGAAAAAAUUAGAGUGUUUAAAGCAGGCUCGCGCUUGAAUACAUUAGCAUGGAAUAAUGAAAUAGGACGUUGAUCCUAUUUUGUUGGUUUCUAGGAUUGACGUAAUGAUUAAUAGGGAUAGUUGGGGGCAUUAGUAUUCAAUUGUCAGAGGUGAAAUUCUUGGAUUUAUUGAAGACUAACUACUGCGAAAGCAUUUGCCAAGGAUGUUUUCAUUAAUCAAGAACGAAAGUUAGGGGAUCGAAGACGAUCAGAUACCGUCGUAGUCUUAACCAUAAACUAUGCCGACUAGGGAUCGGAUGAUGUUAUUUUUAAUACUCAUUCGGCGCCUUACGGGAAAC